Molecule: unclassified non-coding RNA, 398 nt
Filed under: soil metagenome
Description: partial contains 5.8S ribosomal RNA, internal transcribed spacer 2, and large subunit ribosomal RNA
Rfam family: 5.8S ribosomal RNA (bases 1-122)
Source: RNAcentral
GAUGAAGAACGCAGCGAAAUGCGAUACUUGGUGUGAAUUGCAGAAUCCCGUGAACCAUCGAGUCUUUGAACGCAAGUUGCGCCUCAAGCCAUUAGGUUGAGGGCACGUCUGCCUGGGCGUCACAUAUCGUUGCCUGAUGCCAGUUUCCUCGUGAUGGGUGACUGUGCAGGGCGAAUGAUGGCUUCCCGUGAGCAUUGUUGCCUCAUGGUUGGUUGAAAAUUGAGUCCUUGGUAGGGAGCGCCGUGAUAGAUGGUGGUUGAGUGACGAACGAGACCCAAUCAUGUGAGACCCCUACCGAAUUUGGCCUUCAUGACCCACAUGCGUCUUUGGAACGCUCAUGACGAGACCUCAGGUCAGGCGGGGCUACCCGCUGAGUUUAAGCAUAUCAAUAGCGGAGG